UACGGAGGAUGCAAGCGUUAUCCGGAUUUAUUGGGCGUAAAGCGUCCGCAGGUGGCUCUACAAGUCUGCUGUUAAAGCGUGGGGCUUAACUCCAUACAGGCAGUGGAAACUGUAAAGCUAGAGUCUGGUAGGGGUCACGGGAAUUCCCAGUGUAGCGGUGAAAUGCGUAGAUAUUGGGAAGAACCCCAGCGGCGAAAGCGCGGGACUGGGCCGGAACUGACACUCAUGGACGAAAGCUAGGGGAGCGAAAGGG
This 253-nucleotide ribosomal RNA is filed under the name uncultured bacterium. RNAcentral describes it as "partial 16S ribosomal RNA". It matches the Rfam family "Bacterial small subunit ribosomal RNA", at positions 524 to 776 of the family's 1533-position model. The record is from RNAcentral.